Macaca mulatta (Rhesus monkey) is the source of this 725-nucleotide non-coding RNA. NCBI's taxonomy places the organism in Eukaryota, Metazoa, Chordata, Mammalia, Primates, Cercopithecidae. The record is from RefSeq and is a predicted model, not a curated record.
AAAAAAGUAAGCCUAUGCUUACUUUUAUACAGUCAACCUUAGUUACUUGAUUUUUCCAUAGAAUGAAAUUUUUUCUGUUUUCCUUUUAGCUUCAUAUGUAAUUUCUGAGAUAUAUAAUGAGAAAUGUAAAUACUCCAGUAAUCAUCUCCAAACAUCACAGCUUCUGCCAAAAGGAUUAGCAUAUCCGUUAUCCUGCCUUACAGGGUGUACCUCUACUGUGAUUCCACCUGGACAUUCAGACAUAACUGAGCAAUUUGGGGAUUAUUAAUGAGACAAAACUGAAAAACAUCUAUUUACAUAGAGAGAGAGAAUCCUCUGAGGAGAGACCUAUUCUUGAGGCUUUGAGAUCCCAUGGGCUCAUGAAACAACUGAAAGAGAACAUCUCCGCCCAGCAAUAGAAGAAACUACCAAACUCUGAAGUGGAACCACGUUAUACCAGUGCAUGCUACAUCAAAAGGUGGAAUGAGAAUGACCGCUUUUCUGGCAGUGUGGAGACAAACGUUAGAAAGAAAAUGCUGGAUCUGGGUAGCAUGAAGCAGUGACGGUGUGCCCCACACCCAGUGAGCAGCGGGAACCCCCUCUAUGACUUGAGGAGUUGUCAUUAAAGGAUAAACCGCUCAUCUCAAACCAGAGGCAAUUAAGUGACAGAGGGUUCUAGAUCUGAUGACUCCCAGCCUUUGGCAGUGGCCACAGCAAUAAAAACAGCUAUGCCAUGCAGAAUUGUC